GAUUUGAGAGAAACAACAGGCAUUACCCGCUUCUAAAAACAAACAAUUUAAUAUCAUGUCAGGACAUGAAAAUUUAGCAUAAAAAAUAGCUAAACUCAACAAUAUGUCAUGUUUUUCCCAAGCAUACUGCACUAAACUUGAGGAACAUCAAAUGGGAUUGCAACACUUAUUACUUACCAAGAUGUAAGCAUUACGAUUCACAGAUUUGAUGAUCCAACUAAUACACCGCAGGCAACCUUGUGAGGAAUUAUAUACCAUUCUUCCAACCCAGCUUUCUGGUGCUGAAUUAGCAACUUUAAGUUUACGCCGGAUUGCUUCAAGUAAAAACCUGAUAGACUCUAUAAAUGAAGACUUUCAGGUGCUGAAUUAGCAACUUUAAGUUUACGCCGGAGUGCUUCAAGUAGAAACCUGAUAGACUCUAUAAAUGAAACAAUCAGCGAACCAAGAGCAACAGAUCCAACGCUGUAACGUAUAAGCCGCUUCAUAGAGGACAGCACUGGGAGAAAUGAAAUUUCUGGCUGCACUUGCAAAAAUAGAAGCUAAUCAGUCACCAGAACAUACCCGAAAAAAUACUCUUGUAUUAAAUCAGGA
This 591-nucleotide long non-coding RNA is filed under the name Nicotiana benthamiana. RNAcentral describes it as "long non-coding RNA (NBEN_LNC024790)". Lineage: Eukaryota; Viridiplantae; Streptophyta; Magnoliopsida; Solanales; Solanaceae. The record is from RNAcentral.